AUAUCUGUGCACAUUAUUAAUGUUCACGAAAAUACUUAUUUCGAUUUAAAACACCGCAAGUGUAUAUUUCGUUAACAAGUAAUAAAGUGGAUGUUAAGUCCAAGUAUCGUUCCAUAAGGAUUGAUUUAGUUCAAUUUCUAUUAUUGUAACCUUAACAGAUGAGAAUGUGUUUGUUUCGAAUUGAUUAUACCUAAGCUUGAUUAUGUAUGCAAUUAUGUAUGAAUUAAAUUAAAUUAAAUGUAAAAUUAUAUUUGAAUGCAAGUUUGAUGAAAUCAAUGAAUAUGAAGUGCACUAGGAUCACGAAUCCUCAAGUAAUGCUUACUUUUAAACCUAGUUCUACAAUUUGACAACACGAUGAAUUUUUGAAGAAUCAGUGCUCAUAAAUCUAUUCAACAAUCUUUCUUGAAUAAUGUUGAACCUACUCUCACAUACCACCAGCCCAUAUCUCUAUAACGAGUGCAAAUAUACUAGAAUACAUGUGAUUUUGUGAACACUUAAAAAUUCACACAAGGCUUAAUAGUAUAUCCCUAUUCUCUAUCAGAACCUACAAUGAUUUAUACCCUGUCGAACUUAUUCACCUUCUCUCGAAUGCCUGAAAUAAGUCAUCACACUUGCACAAUUACGUGCACAUAAUUAUAGAAGUAAUUAAUUGUAUAUAAAUCAUUGAAC
RNAcentral lists this long non-coding RNA (669 nucleotides) under Olea europaea subsp. europaea. Lineage: Eukaryota; Viridiplantae; Streptophyta; Magnoliopsida; Lamiales; Oleaceae. The record is from RNAcentral.